Molecule: long non-coding RNA, 3721 nt
Organism: Homarus americanus (American lobster)
Lineage: Eukaryota; Metazoa; Arthropoda; Malacostraca; Decapoda; Nephropidae
Exons: 3
Source: RefSeq, a predicted model, not a curated record
UCUCUCUAAAGGAAUCAUACGCCUGGCAGUGAGUGUCUGGGAGGGACUGCACGAGCCGCCACAGCCAGUGACCAUUAACGGCACUAAGUCCUAUUGGAGCAACGUCACUUGUGGUGUACCCCAAGGCUCAGUACUUGGACCAUUAUUGGGACUGCCAAUAGGCCCGCUGCAGUUUCCUCCAUUCUUAUGUUCUUAUAUCAAGAAUUUAAAGUUUAUAAAUUAAUAAAGAUUUUGGUGCCAUCACGAAUGUUCAACAAUGUCAACAAGGUCGGCCAUCUUGGAGCCGAGGAGAGUGUUGGGUAGUCUAGUGUAAACAAACUUACCGUAUGGAGGCGAGUGACUGUAACACCUACCAAAAAAUGAAUAUAACAAGGACAUAAUAUAGGAUGGUAUCAUUUAAAUGGACGACACGGGAGAAGUGACUAACUACCAACACUAAAACAGGUUCUGCGAGUAUUAUUCCUCCCGGGUUGUGGCGUUCUCAUUUUGAAUGAUGGCCAUUCCAAAGAUGCUAGUUAAGUUUGUCUCAUUGAAGCUGUGUGGCACCUGAUCAUCUUCCUUAUGGUUGAUCAUCUAUUAUCCCUCUCAACAUUUGGAGCUUUGAGCAUCAGAGUUUUGACCUGCAGUCAAACUGAAGGUGUUGUUUGAAAAGCUCCAUUAAAGCUGUGGGGCAUUUGUCCAUACUCCAGAAGGUGAUUUCCACAUCAAGAUUACUAAGUUGUUCAUUAAUAACAUGCAGUAAUCUUCCAUUGUGUGUCAAAGGGUGCUGCGUCUCUGUGGCUUAUGACUUAAGACCAAAUCAAGGACUUUUGUUCAAGACAUUUACUGUUUGAUGCAACUGUGGAAAACAAAAUUGAUUCCCAAACAUUUUUUAUCUGAUCAGGUGUACAUUAUUUAUAAAUUUAUAACAUUUCCACCUUGAAGUAAAACAGGAUUGUGGAUAAUAUGUCUUUGGAUUGAAAAGAAUCGAUUUUUUUUAGAGCAGGAAUUUUAACAAUUAUUUAAAUCUUCUGAUUACAAAAAUCUUUAGAAAUCUGACAAGAAAAUUUUAUGUUUAACUUUUAAUUGAAUACUUAACAAAAAUAAUUUGGAAAAGGAAUAUGGAAGGUCACCCAGUUGAGAACUCAUUCCAUUGUUCAAUGUGCAAUAAAUUUUUUAGCACAAAUGACAUUCUGUUAAAGCAUGCUUGUAACUACACAGGGAGAAAGCCAUAUAAAUGUUCCAAAUGCCAUAAAUCAUUUCAAAAGAGAUGUUAUUUAUUAAAGCAUAAAAAGAUUCACACAGAAGGAAAGACAUUUCAUUGUGCAGAAUGCGAUAAAUCUUUCAGACAGAAAGGAAAUUUAAUAGUACAUAUGAGAGUUCAUACAGGAGAGAAACCAUAUCAGUGUUCAGAAUGUAAUGAAUUCUUUAGACAUGGCAAAAGUUUGAAAAUACAUUAUAGAGUUCACACUGGAGAAAAGCCAUUUCAGUGUUCAGAAUGUAAUGAAUUUUUUAGACAUAAGCAGAGUUUAGAUGUACACUUGAGAGUUCACCAAGAGAAGAAACCAUUUCAGUGUAUAGCGUGUAAAAAAUACUUCAGUAUAAAAGGACGUCGAAUACAGCCUCUCAAGUGUACAGAAUGCUCUACAGCCAAUAGAUUUCAAAAUUAUCUAGUAGUGGAUAGUAAUGCUCGUCCUACAGAAAAACCUUCGAGUCUACAAAUUGACAGUAUUGUUUUGAUGCCUAACUCAAUAGAAGAGAUGUUGGUCAGCUCCAGGGUAGAAGUGAAAAAGGAAGGAGGUGAUAAUGUAGACUCAGUUAUUGUUAAGACUGAGGAUCCACUCAAACUUGAUACUAUUCCUCAGUGUGCUAUAAAGAGGGAGAUCCUGGAGGAUUGUAUUUUUGUUAAGGAAGAAGAAUUCUGACAUUUUCUAAAGUCGUUCGUAUCUGGUGUUCUAGUGUUUGUUUGUUGUACUUUAAUAAAUAUUUGUCAUUAAUUUGUUUCUUAUCUUUCAAACUUUCUAAUAUUUUGAAUAAAAAUGAAUGGGUAAAUAUUUACAAACUAUACUGAGUAAAACCCAAUCACUGCCCCUAACAUGGCAUUGUUCAUUGAUAUUUCUGCAUAGGAACUGCCACAUUACAGGUAUCCAACACUACGAUGAAGAAUCUACAGUGGAAAUUGGAUAUAUUAUGAAGUUGUGUGUUUACAUCUCUCACGUUAUAUCCAGUCAAGCUCAUGACACUUAACACGUAAGAGGAAAAAUAUGUUUGGCUUAAUAGCAGUAUAUUUCCCAUUUUGUUUUUACUCUUCUAUAAAUGUACUCUCAUGCAGUCAGCCCUAAAGCACACAACUAUUGUCAGAUUGCUUUUGAUUUGAGUUGUUGAAUCACACCAAAUACUCCAGACUCAUAUAAUCCUAUUUCAUUUAGCUCAUCAUCACUGGUUCCUUGACACACAGUAGUACACACUAGCCCUGUCCUCUCUGAAUGGUGGGUAAUAUCCUGGUAAAUAAAAUUCACCCGGCAACACAUUUUCUCAACCCAAGGAUGUGAUUUCUCCACAAGAUCUUUAAUCCUUUCUCCGUUGAUUGUUGGGAGUUCUUGUAUUUGUUGCUUUAGUUUAUCUUUUUCCUUAUCUAUUUUGGUUUCAAGAUCCUAUACAGUACAUUGUAAUUAUCUCUAUAACUUUUUUCAUACAUAUUUUGCGAAGAAAUAUGGCAAGCUCAUUAUCAGUAUUUGAGCUGCAUAUGAGUGCCUUAAGUAACUCUUUAGACAGCUUUAACCCCUUCUCUAUAGGGAUGCCACUUUUAAUAUUUUAUUUGGCUAAUGCUAGACAAUUUUAGACUUGAAGGAUGGACAUAGUAAUAUAUAGACAAGCUAUGAUAUUCAGUGAUUAAUUAUAUUAAGGGAUUAACUAUUAUACACACUUCAAGGGGUCAUUCUUAUGGGGUGAAUCAUCAUACUUAAAGGGAAAUAGUAAUUGUACUCAAGAUUGUUAUAUUGUACACGAAUGUUAAGUCAUCAUACUCGAGAAGUUAUGAACGGAUUCAUGGGCUAACUUUGUAUGGUUUUACUGUAUAAUGAGCUCAAUGUUGAUCUGAUAUGUGGUGAGCUUUAUGGUGCCCUGUGUUUAUGUAAUGUUUUAAUAUCACACAGUGGUAUGGGUUUGUUGUGUCAUAAGCUUACUAUAGUACUAAGGUUGCCAUGUCAUAAUUUCACAACACUAGACUUGCUAGGUUAUAAAAAUACAACACCAGGUUUUUUGUUUUGUUUUUGUAAGGUCACAACUUUGGAUUUUUCUUAUUGUAAUCCCACAACACCAGGAUAGUCUAUCAAAAGAUUUCAGCACUUGGAUUUCUAUGUGGUGAGCUCACGGCAUUGAGUGUUGUGUGUCUCUUGGUCAGCAACACUGAAUUCUCUUGCCAUGAAGUCACUAUAUUGGUAAACCAUUUGGUAAAAAUCUGUGAUGCAGAUGAGACCAUUCACAAUGUAAAUCUUUUUGAAUCAUCUGAAGAUUAGACCUUUAAGUUCUCACCUGGAGUUUCAUCCCUUAGCUUAACCGGCCUCAAGUUUUACUGCUACCGAAUUAUCAGGGAGGGGGGUUAAUCUUCAGGUGACACACGGAGGAUAAAUUUUGUAAUGGUCUCGUCUGCAUCACUGGUAUAAAUGAACCCAGCUUUUGUCAGGGUUUGUGUUUAUAUGGUGUAGUAUGUGAUACAAAAAUAUAAAUAUUUUAAAAGAUA